Molecule: ribosomal RNA, 441 nt
Filed under: uncultured Microvirga sp.
Lineage: Bacteria; Pseudomonadati; Pseudomonadota; Alphaproteobacteria; Hyphomicrobiales; Methylobacteriaceae
Description: bacterial SSU rRNA
Rfam family: Bacterial small subunit ribosomal RNA
Source: RNAcentral
ACUCCUACGGGAGGCAGCAGUGGGGAAUAUUGGACAAUGGGGGCAACCCUGAUCCAGCCAUGCCGCGUGAGUGAUGAAGGCCUUCGGGUUGUAAAGCUCUUUUGGUUGGGACGAUGAUGACGGUACCCGCAGAAUAAGCCCCGGCCAACUUCGUGCCAGCAGCCGCGGUAAGACGAAGGGGGCUAGCGUUGUUCGGAAUUACUGGGCGUAAAGCGAGUGUAGGUGGUUUUCCAAGUUGGAUGUGAAAGCCUUGAGCUCAACUCAAGAAAUGCAUUCAGGACUGGAUGACUAGAGGACCGGAGAGGAUAGUGGAAUUCCCAGUGUAGUGGUGAAAUACGUAGAGAUUGGGAAGAACACCAGUGGCGAAGGCGGCUAUCUGGACGGUUUCUGACACUAAGACUCGAAAGCGUGGGGAGCAAACAGGAUUAGAUACCCUGGUAG